This 497-nucleotide ribosomal RNA is filed under the name uncultured bacterium. RNAcentral describes it as "partial 16S ribosomal RNA". It matches the Rfam family "Bacterial small subunit ribosomal RNA", at positions 28 to 507 of the family's 1533-position model. The record is from RNAcentral.
GACGAACGCUGGCGGCGUGCCUAAUACAUGCAAGUAGAACGCUGAAGCGAGGAGCUUGCUCUUCUUGGAUGAGUUGCGAACGGGUGAGUAACGCGUAGGUAACCUGCCUUGUAGCGGGGGAUAACUAUUGGAAACGAUAGCUAAUACCGCAUAACAAUGGAUGACACAUGUCAUUUAUUUGAAAGGGGCAAUUGCUCCACUACAAGAUGGACCUGCGUUGUAUUAGCUAGUAGGUGAAGUAAUGGCUCACCUAGGCGACGAUACAUAGCCGACCUGAGAGGGUGAUCGGACACACUGAGACUGAGACACGGCCCAGACUCCUACGGGAGGCAGCAGUAGGGAAUCUUCGGAAAUGGGGGCAACCCUGACCGAGCAACGACGCGUGAGUGAAGAAGGUUUUCGGAUCGUAAAGCUCUGUUGUAAGUCAAGAACGGGUGUGAGAGUGGAAAGUUCACAAUGUGACGGUAGCUUACCAGAAAGGGACGGCUAACUACGUG